Molecule: ribosomal RNA, 893 nt
Filed under: Agaricus bitorquis
Lineage: Eukaryota; Fungi; Basidiomycota; Agaricomycetes; Agaricales; Agaricaceae
Description: partial large subunit ribosomal RNA
Rfam family: Eukaryotic large subunit ribosomal RNA
Source: RNAcentral
AACUAACAAGGAUUCCCCUAGUAACUGCGAGUGAAGCGGGAAAAGCUCAAAUUUAAAAUCUGGCGGUCUUUGGCCGUCCGAGUUGUAAUCUAGAGAAGUAAUGCCCGUGCUGGACCGUGUAUAAGUCUCCUGGGAUGGGGCGUCAUAGAGGGUGAGAAUCCCGUCUUUGACACGGACUACCAGUGCAUUGUGGUAUGCUCUCAAAGAGUCGAGUUGUUUGGGAAUGCAGCUCAAAAUGGGUGGUAAAUUCCAUCUAAAGCUAAAUAUUGGCGAGAGACCGAUAGCGAACAAGUACCGUGAGGGAAAGAUGAAAAGAACUUUGGAAAGAGAGUUAAACAGUACGUGAAAUUGCUGAAAGGGAAACGCUUGAAGUCAGUCGCGUUGGCCAGGGAUCAGCCUUGCUUUUGCAUGGUGUAUUUUCUGGUUGACGGGUCAGCAUCAAUUUUGACCACUGGAAAAGGGCCUGGGGAAUGUGGCAGCUUAGGCUGUGUUAUAGCCCCUGGUCGCAUACAGUGGUUGGGAUUGAGGAACUCAGCACGCCGCAAGGCCGGGUUUCGACCACGUUCGUGCUUAGGAUGCUGGCAUAAUGGCUUUAAGCGACCCGUCUUGAAACACGGACCAAGGAGUCUAACAUGCCUGCGAGUAUUUGGGUGGAAAACCCGAGUGCGCAAUGAAAGUGAAAGUUGAGAUCCCUGUCGUGGGGAGCAUCGACGCCCGGACCAGAACUUUUGGGACGGAUCCGCGGUGGAGCAUGUAUGUUGGGACCCGAAAGAUGGUGAACUAUGCCUGAAUAGGGUGAAGCCAGAGGAAACUCUGGUGGAGGCUCGUAGCGAUUCUGACGUGCAAAUCGAUCGUCAAAUUUGGGUAUAGGGGCGAAAGACUAAUCGACCAUC